CCUACGGGUGGCAGCAGUGAGGAAUAUUGGUCAAUGGACGAGACUCUGAACCAGCGAAGUAGCGUGAAGGAUGACUGCCCUAUGGGUUGUAAACUUCUUUUAUAUGGGAAUAAAAUGUUCCACGUGUGGGAUUUUGUAUGUCUCAUAUGAAUAAGGAUCGGCUAACUCCGUGCCAGCAGCAGCGGUAAUACGGAGGAACCGAGCGUUAACCGGAUUUAUUGGGUUUAAAGGGAGCGUAGGUGGAUUGUUAAGUCAGUUGUGAAAGUUUGCGGCUCAACCGUAAAAUUGCAGUUGAAACUGGCAGUCUUGAGUGCAGUAGAGGUGAGCGGAAUUCGUGGUGUAGCGGUGAAAUGCUUAGAUAUCACGAAGAACUCCGAUGGCGAAGGCGGCUCACUGGACUGCAACUGACGCUGAGGCUCGAAAGUGUGGGUAUCAAACAGGAUUAGAUACCCGAGUAGUC
This 460-nucleotide ribosomal RNA is filed under the name uncultured bacterium. RNAcentral's name for it is "partial 16S ribosomal RNA". It matches the Rfam family "Bacterial small subunit ribosomal RNA", at positions 338 to 795 of the family's 1533-position model. The record is from RNAcentral.